AGUCACUGACAUUAGAUACCCCCGUAGUCCCAGCCGUAAACAAUGUGCGUUAGGUGUGUCGGUAACCACGUGUUACUGAUGCGCCGAAGAGAAAUCGUGAAACGCACCACCUGGGAAGUACGGUCGCAAGGCUGAAACUUAAAGGAAUUGGCGGGGGAGCACCGCAACGGGAGGAGCGUGCGGUUCAAUUGGAUUCAACGCCGGAAAUCUUACCGGGACCGACAGCAACAUGAAGGCCAGGCUGAAGACUUUGCCGGAUUAGCUG
RNAcentral lists this ribosomal RNA (265 nucleotides) under uncultured archaeon. Its description in RNAcentral is "partial 16S ribosomal RNA". It matches the Rfam family "Archaeal small subunit ribosomal RNA", at positions 718 to 982 of the family's 1478-position model. The record is from RNAcentral.